RNAcentral lists this ribosomal RNA (481 nucleotides) under uncultured bacterium. RNAcentral describes it as "partial 16S ribosomal RNA". It matches the Rfam family "Bacterial small subunit ribosomal RNA", at positions 28 to 507 of the family's 1533-position model. The record is from RNAcentral.
GAUGAACGCUGGCGGCGUGCCUAACACAUGCAAGUCGAGCGAAGCACUUACUUUAGAUUUCUUCGGAAUGACGAAGUUUGUGACUGAGCGGCGGACGGGUGAGUAACGCGUGGGCAACCUGCCCUGUACAGGGGGAUAACAGUUAGAAAUGACUGCUAAUACCGCAUAAGCCCACAGCUUCGCAUGAAGCAGUGGGAAAAACUCCGGUGGUACAGGAUGGGCCCGCGUCUGAUUAGCUAGUUGGUAAGGUAACGGCUUACCAAGGCGACGAUCAGUAGCCGACCUGAGAGGGUGACCGGCCACAUUGGGACUGAGACACGGCCCAAACUCCUACGGGAGGCAGCAGUGGGGAAUAUUGCACAAUGGGGGAAACCCUGAUGCAGCGACGCCGCGUGAGCGAUGAAGUAUUUCGGUAUGUAAAGCUCUAUCAGCAGGGAAGAAAGUGACGGUACCUGACGAAGAAGCCCCGGCUAACUACGUG